GACGUGCUAAUCUGCGAUAAGCGUCGGUAAGGUGAUAUGAACCGUUAUAACCGGCGAUUUCCGAAUGGGGAAACCCAGUGUGUUUCGACACACUAUCAUUAACUGAAUCCAUAGGUUAAUGAGGCGAACCGGGGGAACUGAAACAUCUAAGUACCCCGAGGAAAAGAAAUCAACCGAGAUUCCCCCAGUAGCGGCGAGCGAACGGGGAGCAGCCCAGAGCCUGAAUCAGUGUGUGUGUUAGUGGAAGCGUCUGGAAAGGCGCGCGAUACAGGGUGACAGCCCCGUACACAAAAAUGCACAUGCUGUGAGCUCGAUGAGUAGGGCGGGACACGUGGUAUCCUGUCUGAAUAUGGGGGGACCAUCCUCCAAGGCUAAAUACUCCUGACUGACCGAUAGUGAACCAGUACCGUGAGGGAAAGGCGAAAAGAACCCCGGCGAGGGGAGUGAAAAAGAACCUGAAACCGUGUACGUACAAGCAGUGGGAGCACGCUUAGGCGUGUGACUGCGUACCUUUUGUAUAAUGGGUCAGCGACUUAUAUUCUGUAGCAAGGUUAACCGAAUAGGGGAGCCGAAGGGAAACCGAGUCUUAACUGGGCGUUAAGUUGCAGGGUAUAGACCCGAAACCCGGUGAUCUAGCCAUGGGCAGGUUGAAGGUUGGGUAACACUAACUGGAGGACCGAACCGACUAAUGUUGAAAAAUUAGCGGAUGACUUGUGGCUGGGGGUGAAAGGCCAAUCAAACCGGGAGAUAGCUGGUUCUCCCCGAAAGCUAUUUAGGUAGCGCCUCGUGAAUUCAUCUCCGGGGGUAGAGCACUGUUUCGGCAAGGGGGUCAUCCCGACUUACCAACCCGAUGCAAACUGCGAAUACCGGAGAAUGUUAUCACGGGAGACACACGGCGGGUGCUAACGUCCGUCGUGAAGAGGGAAACAACCCAGACCGCCAGCUAAGGUCCCAAAGUCAUGGUUAAGUGGGAAACGAUGUGGGAAGGCCCAGACAGCCAGGAUGUUGGCUUAGAAGCAGCCAUCAUUUAAAGAAAGCGUAAUAGCUCACUGGUCGAGUCGGCCUGCGCGGAAGAUGUAACGGGGCUAAACCAUGCACCGAAGCUGCGGCAGCGACGCUUAUGCGUUGUUGGGUAGGGGAGCGUUCUGUAAGCCUGUGAAGGUGUGCUGUGAGGCAUGCUGGAGGUAUCAGAAGUGCGAAUGCUGACAUAAGUAACGAUAAAGCGGGUGAAAAGCCCGCUCGCCGGAAGACCAAGGGUUCCUGUCCAACGUUAAUCGGGGCAGGGUGAGUCGACCCCUAAGGCGAGGCCGAAAGGCGUAGUCGAUGGGAAACAGGUUAAUAUUCCUGUACUUGGUGUUACUGCGAAGGGGGGACGGAGAAGGCUAUGUUGGCCGGGCGACGGUUGUCCCGGUUUAAGCGUGUAGGCUGGUUUUCCAGGCAAAUCCGGAAAAUCAAGGCUGAGGCGUGAUGACGAGGCACUACGGUGCUGAAGCAACAAAUGCCCUGCUUCCAGGAAAAGCCUCUAAGCAUCAGGUAACAUCAAAUCGUACCCCAAACCGACACAGGUGGUCAGGUAGAGAAUACCAAGGCGCUUGAGAGAACUCGGGUGAAGGAACUAGGCAAAAUGGUGCCGUAACUUCGGGAGAAGGCACGCUGAUAUGUAGGUGAAGUCCCUCGCGGAUGGAGCUGAAAUCAGUCGAAGAUACCAGCUGGCUGCAACUGUUUAUUAAAAACACAGCACUGUGCAAACACGAAAGUGGACGUAUACGGUGUGACGCCUGCCCGGUGCCGGAAGGUUAAUUGAUGGGGUUAGCGGUAACGCGAAGCUCUUGAUCGAAGCCCCGGUAAACGGCGGCCGUAACUAUAACGGUCCUAAGGUAGCGAAAUUCCUUGUCGGGUAAGUUCCGACCUGCACGAAUGGCGUAAUGAUGGCCAGGCUGUCUCCACCCGAGACUCAGUGAAAUUGAACUCGCUGUGAAGAUGCAGUGUACCCGCGGCAAGACGGAAAGACCCCGUGAACCUUUACUAUAGCUUGACACUGAACAUUGAGCCUUGAUG
RNAcentral lists this ribosomal RNA (2058 nucleotides) under Escherichia coli. RNAcentral's name for it is "partial 23S ribosomal RNA". It matches the Rfam family "Bacterial large subunit ribosomal RNA", at positions 55 to 2136 of the family's 2925-position model. Lineage: Bacteria; Pseudomonadati; Pseudomonadota; Gammaproteobacteria; Enterobacterales; Enterobacteriaceae. The record is from RNAcentral.